GGUGAUUCAUUGUUUUGAAACAAACACACACACAGUGUGUGUGUUAUCUGUGGUGUGUGCAUCGGUGUGACAAAUAUAAGAUCAACCAGUCAAAAGCAAGUUCUAAUUCCACUUCUCCGUUGCUGCUGUCUGCGGUUGGCGCGUGGCAUGUGUUGUGGUGUGGCCCUACGUGGGUGAUACGUUUCCUUAGUGGCGUGUGUUCUGUAUUCGUUGUGGAAGUUGUUACAGCCCAUUUAGUGCUGCUUACUGCUUCCGUGUGUGUUGUCGUUUCUAUUGGUGGUUGGUUAGAGUUUGCAAAGCCAAAGAGUUUGGAUUCCACAACAAAACUCAACGGGGCACGCAUAGAAACACCUUCACCAACAAUCCCAACCCGAAAAGGGGCACUGGCAUCACAGGAGGCUUUUGCUGUGCGGACGGGUGCGUAUCUCGAGUAUGUGAAACGGAAAAGUAGGCGCUGCCUGCGAAGUUGCCAUUUGAUCUGUGAAUGUGACGUGUGUGCGACCAGGCUUGCGGAAGCUGCGAGUGUGGCAAAGUGGACACAAAAAACAAGGAAAUUAUCUCACUUGAAGCAGGGCGGUGCCCUACAUAUUGCCCUACGCAUUUGAUCCCUGGGUUUGCGGUCGUUAUUUGUUUUUGCCGUUCAUCUCUCUUCGAUUAUAAAUACGUUUCCGUUGUAAUUCCCGCGUUUAAUUGCCUCCGAUUAGUGUGACAAAAGUGUGAUUAAGUGAGUAAAGCGAUAAAAACAAAUCCCGCGCCUGUAUCGUGUGUGUGUGUGUGUGUGUGUGAGUGUAGUAAGAAACAAAGAGAGCGUGCUGUGGGAGGAGGGCUAAUUCACCCGGUUUUGCUCGUGGCCCCGAUCGAAUGUGUCUUUAUCGCUCUUUAAUAGUGUGUUGAAUGUGAAGAAGAGAAGCUACACAAGCUGUUUUUCUUCGCGUGAGCUUAAUUAAAUACCAUCUACCGUCGGGGCACAAGGCCACAGAGAGAAAGAGAGCAUUAAAGAAAGAAGGGCUUAGAAAGGGGGAAAAAACCCCAUCUUCAUCGGAAGCGCGCGCGCGCUCACGCUUCCCUUUUUGUGCUGUGAAGAAGAAAGCAGCGGAAGCAGCGACCGUCCCAGUGGACACAAGCUUUCGUCAUUUUCAAUCAUUCCCCCCCUCCCGUCCACCCCGUUCGCGAAAGGUUCAAUCGAUCCUGAAACUGCAACUACUGCUACAACACAGCACUUCAACACCGGUGACGGGGGCGCAGACGAGGAAAACAGUCCCGUCUACGCUCGGCAAAUCGGAUCAGCGAAAUUGGAAUGUCAUUGAAG
Long non-coding RNA from Anopheles merus, 1309 nucleotides. RefSeq lists it as uncharacterized. Lineage: Eukaryota; Metazoa; Arthropoda; Insecta; Diptera; Culicidae. The transcript is spliced from 2 exons. The record is from RefSeq and is a predicted model, not a curated record.